UUCCGGUUGAUCCUGCCGGACCUGACUGCUAUCGGAUUGGUACUAAGCCAUGUGAGUCAUUGUAGCAAUACAAGGCAGACGGCUCAGUAACGCGUAGUCAAUCUACCCUAUGGACGGGAAUAACCUCGGGAAACUGAGAAUAAUGCCCGAUAGAACAUUAUGCCUGGAAUGGUUUAUGUUUCAAAUGAUUUAUCGCCAUAGGAUGGGACUGCGGCCUAUCAGCUUGUUGGUGAGGUAAUGGCCCACCAAGGCUAUUACAGGUACGGGCUCUGAGAGGAGAAGCCCGGAGAUGGGUACUGAGACACGGACCCAGGCCCUAUGGGGCGCAGCAGGCGAGAAAACUUUGCAAUGUGCGAAAGCACGACAAGGUUAAUCCGAGUGGUUUCUGCUAAAGAAACCUUUUGUUAGUCCUAGAAACACUAGUGAAUAAGGAGAGGGCAAGUCUGGUGUCAGCCGCCGCGGUAAUACCAGCUCUCCGAGUGGUGUGGAUGUUUAUUGGGCCUAAAGCAUCCGUAGCUGGCUAGGUAAGUCCCUUGUUAAAUCCACCGAAUUAAUCGUUGGAUUGCGGGGGAUACUGCUCGGCUAGGGGACGAGAGAGGCCGACGGUAUUUUCGGGGUAGGGGUGAAAUCCUAUAAUCCCGGGAAGACCACCAGUGGCGAAGGCUGUCGGCUAGAACGCGCCCAACGGUGAGGGAUAAAAGCUGGGGGAGCGAACCGGAUUAGAUACCCGGGUAGUCCCAGCUGUAAACGAUGCAGGCUAGGUGUUUGGGCGGCCACGCGCCGCUCUAGUGCCGCAGGGAAGCUGUUAAGCCUGCCGCCUGGGGAGUACGGCCGCAAGGCUGAAACUUAAAGGAAUUGGCGGGGGAGCACCACAAGGGGUGAAGCUUGCGGUUUAAUUGGAUUCAACGCCGGA
This 913-nucleotide ribosomal RNA is filed under the name uncultured archaeon. Its description in RNAcentral is "partial 16S ribosomal RNA". It matches the Rfam family "Archaeal small subunit ribosomal RNA", at positions 1 to 922 of the family's 1478-position model. The record is from RNAcentral.